GCCCUUUCUUUAGCUCAGCUGAUUUGAGUGUGGUGCUAAUAAUGCCAAGGUUGCAGUUUCGAUCCCCGUAUAUAGGACA
Molecule: non-coding RNA, 79 nt
Organism: Podarcis lilfordi (Lilford's wall lizard)
Lineage: Eukaryota; Metazoa; Chordata; Lepidosauria; Squamata; Lacertidae
Source: the annotation of a GenBank genome assembly